GGGGAGCCUAUGUUCAUUUUGACUAGUGAUUUCAGGUGGUUCUGAACUAAGGAGAUUCUUGUAGUUAAGGUUCAGUGGAGCCCAGUGGAGGAGUCUACUUGGGAGGUUGAGAGAAUGAUGUGAACCCAAUAUCUUUACUUGUUUGAGACUUUAUAUUUCCACUUAUUUUCAUUAUUAGAGCUUUUCCCUAGCUGCCCCAUGUCAUUUAUGACUUACUGGGACUGAUAGUUUGGUUACCGGGC
RNAcentral lists this long non-coding RNA (242 nucleotides) under Capsicum annuum. RNAcentral's name for it is "long non-coding RNA (CANN_LNC015660)". The record is from RNAcentral. Lineage: Eukaryota; Viridiplantae; Streptophyta; Magnoliopsida; Solanales; Solanaceae.